GACGAACGUUGGCGGCGUGCUUAACACAUGCAAGUCGAACGGAAAGGCCCUGCUUUUGUGGGGUGCUCGAGUGGCGAACGGGUGAGUAACACGUGAGUAACCUGCCCUUGACUUUGGGAUAACUUCAGGAAACUGGGGCUAAUACCGGAUAGGAGCUCCUGCUGCAUGGUGGGGGUUGGAAAGUUUCGGCGGUUGGGGAUGGACUCGCGGCUUAUCAGCUUGUUGGUGGGGUAGUGGCUUACCAAGGCUUUGACGGGUAGCCGGCCUGAGAGGGUGACCGGCCACAUUGGGACUGAGAUACGGCCCAGACUCCUACGGGAGGCAGCAGUGGGGAAUAUUGCACAAUGGGCGGAAGCCUGAUGCAGCAACGCCGCGUGCGGGAUGACGGCCUUCGGGUUGUAAACCGCUUUCGCCUGUGACGAAGCGUGAGUGACGGUAAUGGGUAAAGAAGCACCGGCUAACUACGUGCCAGCAGCCGCGGUGAUACGUAGGGAGCGAGCGUUGUCCGGAUUUAUUGGGCGUAAAGGGCUCGUAGGUGGUUGAUCGCGUCGGAAGUGUAAUCUUGGGGCUUAACCCUGAGCGUGCUUUCGAUACGGGUUGACUUGAGGAAGGUAGGGGAGAAUGGAAUUCCUGGUGGAGCGGUGGAAUGCGCAGAUAUCAGGAGGAACACCAGUGGCGAAGGCGGUUCUCUGGGCCUUUCCUGACGCUGAGGAGCGAAAGCGUGGGGAGCGAACAGGCUUAGAUACCCUGGUAGUCCACGCUGUAAACGGUGGGUACUAGGUGUGGGGUCCAUUCCACGGGUUCCGUGCCGUAGCUAACGCUUUAAGUACCCCGCCUGGGGAGUACGGCCGCAAGGCUAAAACUCAAAGGAAUUGACGGGGCCCCGCACAAGCGGCGGAGCAUGCGGAUUAAUUCGAUGCAACGCGUAGAACCUUACCUGGGUUUGACAUGGCUCGGGAGUGCUCAGAGAUGGGUGUGCCUCUUUUGGGGUCGGUUCACAGGUGGUGCAUGGCUGUCGUCAGCUCGUGUCGUGAGAUGUUGGGUUAAGUCCCGCAACGAGCGCAACCCUUGUUCACUGUUGCCAGCACGUUAUGGUGGGGACUCAGUGGAGACCGCCGGGGUCAACUCGGAGGAAGGUGGGGAUGACGUCAAGUCAUCAUGCCCCUUAUGUCCAGGGCUUCACGCAUGCUACAAUGGCUGGUACAGAGAGUGGCGAGCCUGUGAGGGUGAGCGAAUCUCGGAAAGCCGGUCUCAGUUCGGAUUGGGGUCUGCAACUCGACCUCAUGAAGUCGGAGUCGCUAGUAAUCGCAGAUCAGCAACGCUGCGGUGAAUACGUUCCCGGGGCU
This 1346-nucleotide ribosomal RNA is filed under the name uncultured bacterium. Its description in RNAcentral is "bacterial SSU rRNA". It matches the Rfam family "Bacterial small subunit ribosomal RNA", at positions 28 to 1381 of the family's 1533-position model. The record is from RNAcentral.